AUUGAACGCUGGCGGCAUGCCUUACACAUGCAAGUCGAACGGCAGCACGGGAGCAAUCCUGGUGGCGAGUGGCGAACGGGUGAGUAAUAUAUCGGAACGUGCCCAGUCGUGGGGGAUAACGCAGCGAAAGCUGUGCUAAUACCGCAUACGAUCUAUGGAUGAAAGCGGGGGAUCGCAAGACCUCGCGCGAUUGGAGCGGCCGAUAUCAGAUUAGCUAGUUGGUGAGGUAAAGGCCCACCAAGGCGACGAUCUGUAGCUGGUCUGAGAGGCCGACCAGCCACACUGGAACUGAGACACGGUCCAGACUCCUACGGGAGGCAGCAGUGGGGAAUUUUGGACAAUGGGCGAAAGCCUGACCCAGCAAUGCCGCGUGCAGGAUGAAGGCCUUCGGGUUGUAAACUGCUUUUGUACGGAACGAAACGGUGAGCUCUAAUACAGUUUGCUAAUGACGGUACCGUAAGAAUAAGCACCGGCUAACUACGUGCCAGCAGCCGCCGUAA
RNAcentral lists this ribosomal RNA (500 nucleotides) under uncultured bacterium. RNAcentral's name for it is "partial 16S ribosomal RNA". It matches the Rfam family "Bacterial small subunit ribosomal RNA", at positions 30 to 523 of the family's 1533-position model. The record is from RNAcentral.